GUAGCUGCAGCGGUUGUAGGUGCAGCAGUUGUAGGGGCUGCUGUUGUUGGUGCAGCAGAUGUAGGUGCUGCUGUUGUUGCUGCAGCUGUCAUAGGUGCUGCUGACGUAGUUGUGGC
This is a long non-coding RNA of Etheostoma cragini (Arkansas darter), 116 nucleotides long. RefSeq lists it as uncharacterized. The transcript has 3 exons. The record is from RefSeq and is a predicted model, not a curated record. NCBI's taxonomy places the organism in Eukaryota, Metazoa, Chordata, Actinopteri, Perciformes, Percidae.